GGUGUUUCGAUCUUGGUCCGCCGGUUUAACGGCCGGUUGUGUUUGCCGAGAUUGGGCAUCAUCCUCUCGAGAUGCCUAGCCUGCCCUUUACUGGGUUGGGCUUGUGUAUUUUGAGACUUUUACUUUGAAAAAAUUAGAGUGUUUAAAGCAGGCUUACGCUUUUGAAUAGAUUAGCAUGGAAUAAUAAUAUAGGACAGUAGCCCUAUUUUGUUGGUUUCUAGGGAUGCUGUA
RNAcentral lists this ribosomal RNA (231 nucleotides) under uncultured fungus. Its description in RNAcentral is "partial small subunit ribosomal RNA". The stretch from base 84 to 231 matches the Rfam family "Eukaryotic small subunit ribosomal RNA", at positions 716 to 864 of the family's 1831-position model. Lineage: Eukaryota; Fungi. The record is from RNAcentral.